GUUGGAAACGACUGCUAAUACCGCAUACGCCCUACGGGGGAAAGGAGGGGACCUUCGGGCCUUCCGCGAUUGGAUGAGUCUAGGUGGGAUUAGCUAGUUGGUGAGGUAAUGGCUCACCAAGGCGACGAUCCCUAGCUGGUCUGAGAGGAUGAUCAGCCACACUGGAACUGAGACACGGUCCAGACUCCUACGGGAGGCAGCAGUGGGGAAUAUUGCACAAUGGGCGAAAGCCUGAUGCAGCCAUGCCGCGUGUGUGAAGAAGGCCUUCGGGUUGUAAAGCACUUUCAGCGAGGAGGAAAGGUUACUGGCUAAUAUCCAGUAGCUGUGACGUUACUCGCAGAAGAAGCACCGGCUAACUUCGUGCCAGCAGCCGCGGUAAUACGAGGGGUGCAAGCGUUAAUCGGAAUUACUGGGCGUAAAGCGUACGCAGGCGGUUUGUUAAGCGAGAUGUGAAAGCCCCGGGCUCAACCUGGGAACUGCAUUUCGAACUGGCAAACUAGAGUCUUGUAGAGGGGGGUAGAAUUUCAGGUGUAGCGGUGAAAUGCGUAGAGAUCUGAAGGAAUACCGGUG
This 570-nucleotide ribosomal RNA is filed under the name Shewanella sp. 805E11. Its description in RNAcentral is "bacterial SSU rRNA". It matches the Rfam family "Bacterial small subunit ribosomal RNA", at positions 149 to 714 of the family's 1533-position model. The record is from RNAcentral. Lineage: Bacteria; Pseudomonadati; Pseudomonadota; Gammaproteobacteria; Alteromonadales; Shewanellaceae.